Long non-coding RNA from Physeter macrocephalus (sperm whale), 4528 nucleotides. RefSeq lists it as uncharacterized. The record is from RefSeq and is a predicted model, not a curated record. Lineage: Eukaryota; Metazoa; Chordata; Mammalia; Artiodactyla; Physeteridae. The transcript is spliced from 4 exons.
GGAAAAAAAAAAAAGUGGGAUGGGCUAUACCUGGAAAGGCAACAGCCAGGUAGAGACCUAGAGGUUGGAAACAGGCAGAUGUAUUCAAAGGUCUAGAACUAAGAGGGAGGCAGCUGUGUCAGGCAUGGGUCAGUCCUGAGCCCAAGCUCUAAGCUCUGCCGCUUAAGAGGUGAAUGUCCUUGGGUGACAGAUUUAACCUCUCUGGGCCUCCAUUUCCUCAUUUAUAAAGUGGGUUUGAUAAAGCACUGACCUAGAAGGGAUGUUGUGCAGAUUAAGUGAGAUGACAGAUGGAAAGCUGCAUACAGUGAGUGCUCAAAAAUUGGUAAUUAUGUGCUCCUUUUCGGAGCACUUCAGCUUCAUCUCUGUCUCCUCAGCAUUUAGAGCACAACUUGACACAUGGUUGAGGUUCAUUUUUUUCAUGAGUGAAUUAAUGAGCACAAUUUUUCUUUUUUUUGGCUGUGCGGCUUGCGGGAUCUUAGUUCCCAGAGCAGGGAUUGAACCUGGGCCUCAGCAGUGAAAGCGCUGAGUCCUAACCACUGGACUACCAGGGAAUUCCUUAUUUCAUGUGAUUUUCACUGGACAAGAGUCCAGUGAGAUAGGCGAGGUAGAGAUUAUUUUCUCCAUUUUAUAGGUGGAGAAACUGAGGCCCAGGGAGGUGAAGUGACCUGCUCAGCAUCAGCCAGAUGAACAAAGAUUCCUGUACCGGCCUGUGAGAGGCGUGUUGGCUGAGCUUCGGCCAAUGCCAGAGAUGGACCCUGCUUUGGAGCUGCGGGGAAGAUUUGAGCAGCAGAAGCUUUUAAGUGAAAGAAAAGGUGGCGACAGGAACCUACCCACUGCGAGAGGACCAGCCAGGCUGAAGGAGAGGACCGCUGGGAAUAACGCAAAGAUUUUCGAGAACUUUUUUGAGUACUAGAAUACAAAAAAUUGGAAAAAAAGAUAAGACAAUCUAUGCCCAGCCCUGGAGUGUUGAUGGUGGUGAAGCAUGAGAAGGUGUGUGAUUUUCUUCAUCUUUUGAAUGAUUUUAUGAAUAAAUAUUAUACGGAAUUUGAUGAGUAUUGUCAGAUCACCUCUCUCCUCAAAAAGGAUUGUACUAAUAAUGUAUGGAUGUGCUUUUUUCCCAAUAACUUCACCAAUUUUGGGUUUUAUUAUUUUACUUUUUUUCCUGUUUAAUGGGUGAGAGAUAGUACGUCAUUAUUAUUUAAAUUUGCAUUACCGUUUGUUAGACUUAAAGUUGAAGGUCCAGAAUUGACCAGUGUCAUUGACAGCCUCAGAAUGAUUUUCCUCAAAAUGUUAAUUCUUGGGGAAUUCCCUGGCGGUCCAGUGGUUAGGACUCUGUGCUUCCACUGUAGGGUGCCUGGGUUCGAUCCCUGGUGGGGGAACUAAGAUCCCCGCAAGCCACACACACGGCCAGAACAAAGAAACAAACGAACAAAAUGUUAAUUCUCGAUUUAUUAUACUGAAUAAAACAAGUCCAUGUUUAUUGUUAAAGUAAAUUUAAAAACCUACUAGGUCCGUUAUUGAGAGGAGAAAGUGGCUCCUGCUUGAGCUUCUGCCAUGAUUGUUUCUGCUUAUUCAACAUUAAUUCCAGGUUCUGAGAUGGAGGCUCACAAAGAGAGGGGUGGGGUUGGAGACCACAAGUGUAAAAACUCCUGUUCAUUUUGUGGCACCUCAUGGCGGCCCUCCCAGUGGCUGUUUUUACGUACCUUCUAAGUCACUCUCCUUGUGAUGGGGCAAAAAUGGUCAGUGAGAGGCUGGCGUAGACACGUGCCCCCCAGCCAAAAAAAGAGUCCUGUAAUUAUUGGUCCAAUUUCUCCUCCCUCCAUCUUCCCUUCCUAAAGAAGACUGAUUCUUCCGUGUGGGAACGUGGCUGGGUUGAACUGGGUAUGGAGGAGGAGCAUUUUUGAUUGAUUGAUUUUUUUUUUUUUUGUGGGAGAUAGAGGUUGAGUAGCUCCAGGGCAUGAGGAGAUUUUAAUUAGUGUGGCUUUGAACUAUGUAUUUGACUCCCUUUAAAUCCCUUGAGAGGUGUGACUAAAGAAUGAAAUUGCUUGUUAAUUACUUUAGGCUAUUGGGUUGUAUUUCUUGUGUCAGAUACCAUUCUGAGACUGAGUCACAUGUGCGCACAUCUUAUUAGGGUUCCACCCUUACUAAUGAAGACUUGGGCAUGAGCUCUUGAGCCUCCAACACCCUGGGGUCUUGGCUCCUUGACAGCCCUGCCACCCACCACCAAGGCCACACCUUGGACCCUGUCAUCACCCGAAACUGCUCCACCUCUGAAAUUACAAUUCAGAUGUCCCACUCUUUUUUGUUGUUUUUUGUUGUUUUUUGUUUUGUUUUGUUUUGUUUACGGUACGCGGGCCUCUCACUGUUGUGGCCUCUCCUGUUGCGGAGCACAGUCUCCGGAUGGACACGCAGGCUCAGCGGCCAUGGCUCAUGGGCCCAGCCGCUCCGCGGCAUGUGGGAUCUUCCCGGACUGGGGCACGAACCCGUGUCCCCUGCAUCAGCAGGCGGACUCUCAACCACUGCGCCACCAGGGAAGCCCAGACGUCCCACUCUUUAGUGACAAUCACCUCCCCCCAACCCCUGCCCAUUUUCCUCUACCACACCUCUCCUCUGACCCCACUGGGUCUUCUAGCCCAUGGAUCCCUAUUGUUCUGUCCAAGCAUCUUUUCCCUUUUCUGUUGGUAAUGACACCCACUUAUUCCUUAGAGGAAACUUCAUUUUUUCUCCCAUAUGGAUAAUGUGAUUCAGGUGAGGCUGACUCUACCCUCACAUCUGGGCAAUCAUACUUCAGAUUCUUGGCCACAUCAAUUGGUCAGGGGUGGGCAUGUGACCCUGUUCAGUCCAGGGAGAGCCAACCCAGUACUAUUGCUGAGAUGCCAGAGAAGGGGACGUUUUCUUUCUGCUCAUGUGACUCACCUUGCAGGACUUAGCCUGGACUUGUGAGGGCUGUCCUGGGGUCGAGAGCCUGCAGGAUAAGGAGGAAGCUGAGCAAAGAGGGGAGGUUCCUAAUAAUCUUGUUGGAGUAUCUGGUACCAACCAUUCCUGAAACUACCCUGGGUUUUUCAGAUAUGUGAGUUGAUGUCUGAGAUCUGUGAGUCAGGAUUAGAUUCUAUCACCUGAAACAGAUGUGGCUAUUACAGUGCUGCUCCAUUGAGGCUCUAGAUGAGGGGUGCCUGGAUGUGGUUGCUCAUCAGAAUCACAUGGGAAGAUUUUUUUCCCUUAAAACCUUUAUAGAUACAGAAAAAAGCAUGAAACAUAAAUGUAUAAGUUAAUGUAUUAUUACAAAGCCAACUCCCAUGUAACCUCAUCAAGGUCAAGAAAGAGAACACUGGGGAACGUUGUUAGCCUCAAAGCCUCAGCCCCUCCUCCCCUUCACGGAACCACCACCCUGACUUCUGUACAAUCUCAUUCUUGCUUCCCUUGAUCAUUUUCAGGCUGAGUAUGUUUUCCUAGACACUAUGGGGUAGUUUUGCCUGUUUUAUUUAUUUAUUUUUUAAAGAAGCACCUCUCUUCUUUAAUAUUUGCAGUUAUUUUCUAAUAUUUAUUUAAUUUAUUUUUUGGGCUGUGUUGGGUCUUAGUUGCAGCACACGUGAUCUUUGUUGCGGCAUGUGACAUCUUUCAUUGCGGCGCGGGGGCUCUUCGUUGUGGUGCGCGGGCUUCUCUCUAGUUGUGGUGUGUGGGUUUUUCUCUCUCUUGUUGUGGUGUGCGGGCUCCAGGCCAUGUGGGCUCUGUAGUUUGGGGCGUGCAGGCUCUCUCGUUGAGACAUGUGAGCUCCGUAGUUGUGGCACACAGGCUUAGUUGCCCCGUGGCAUGUGGGAUCUUAGUUCCCUGGCCAGGGAUCGAACCUGUGUCCCCUGAAUUGGAAGGCGGAUUCUUUACCAUUGGACCACCAGGGAAGUCCCAGUUUUGCCUGUUUUAGAAUGUUGCACAAAUGGAAUUAUUUAUUAAUCUUAAUGAAGCCAAAUUUGUCAGACUUUUCAUUUAAGGUUGGUGCUUUUGUGUCAGGAAAAGUAAUCUGUCACCACCCUGAGGCUUUCAUCCUCAAACUUUUCUUUCACCUUCUAUCACCUUUUAUAAUCUUUAUUGUUCUUUAUUCUAAUCUUUUAUUGUCUUUAUGAUCCCACUAUUGUGUGAGGUAAGGGUCGAGUUUCAUUUUUUCCCUGAUAUGAACACUCAUUCUGUUUAAUGAAAAGGCUCAUCUUUCCCUGCACUCUUUAGUGCUACAUAAAUCACAGCUUGUGUCCAUCUCGACAUCAGCUUCUAGUCUUUUCUUCAGUCUGUCUAUCCUUGCACAAAUACCACCCUCUCCUAAUCACUGUACUUUUAUGAAGUUUGAUAUUCAGUAGAGCGAUAUUCCCAUAUAUAUAUAUUUAGGAAGCUAUUCUUGGCCAUUUCAUUUCCAUAUGUAGUUUAUUUAUUUAAUAAAAUUAAUUAAUUAAUUAAUUAAUAUUGGUUGCAUUGUGUCUUCAUUGCUGCAUGUGGGCUUUUCUCUAGUUGCAGCGAGUAGGGGCUACUCUUUGUUGUGGUG